This 72-nucleotide transfer RNA is filed under the name Cordylochernes scorpioides. RNAcentral's name for it is "tRNA-Glu". Lineage: Eukaryota; Metazoa; Arthropoda; Arachnida; Pseudoscorpiones; Chernetidae. The record is from RNAcentral.
GGUCGGUGGUGGAGUGGUCUAAACCAUUGGUUUUCGACCGCUACGACCCGGGUUCGAAUCCCGCAUUGAGCA